AACGGCGAGUGAAGCGGUAAAAGCUCAAAUUUGAAAUCUGGUACUUUCAGUGCCCGAGUUGUAAUUUGUAGAAUUUGUCUUUGAUUAGGUCCUUGUCUAUGUUCCUUGGAACAGGACGUCAUAGAGGGUGAGAAUCCCGUUUGGCGAGGAUACCUUUUCUUUGUAAGACUUUUUCGAAGAGUCGAGUUGUUUGGGAAUGCAGCUCAAAGUGGGUGGUAAAUUCCAUCUAAAGCUAAAUAUUGGCGAGAGACCGAUAGCCAACAAGUACAGUGAUGGAAAGAUGAAAAGAACUUUGAAAAGAGAGUGAAAAAGUACGUGAAAUUGUUGAAAGGGAAGGGCAUUUGAUCAGACAUGGUGUUUUUUGCAUGCACUCGCCUCUCGUGGGCUGGGCCUCUCAAAAUUUCACUGGGCCAACAUCAAUUCUGGCAGCAGGAUAAAUCAUUAAGAAUGUAGCUACUUCGGUAGUGUUAUAGCUUUUUGGAAUACUGUUAGCCGGGAUUGAGGACUGCGCUUCGGCAAGGAUGUUGGCAUAAUGGUUAAUGCCGCCGUCUGAA
RNAcentral lists this ribosomal RNA (554 nucleotides) under Hanseniaspora uvarum. RNAcentral describes it as "eukaryotic LSU rRNA". It matches the Rfam family "Eukaryotic large subunit ribosomal RNA", at positions 85 to 657 of the family's 3401-position model. The record is from RNAcentral. Lineage: Eukaryota; Fungi; Ascomycota; Saccharomycetes; Saccharomycodales; Saccharomycodaceae.